UAGUAUUUGCAUAUAACCUACCCACAUCCUC
This 31-nucleotide non-coding RNA is filed under the name Homo sapiens (human). Lineage: Eukaryota; Metazoa; Chordata; Mammalia; Primates; Hominidae. The record is from RNAcentral.